AGAAAUGUCUUCCUGAGAAUAAUAAAAGCAGCAGAAUAAUUGUCACCACAAGGAUUCAAGCUGUAGCAACAACUUGCUCUCCUCGUGACAAAGACCUUCAUCUUAUUCAUACAGUUAAAUCUCUUGAGGAGGAUGAAGCCAGAGAAUUGUUCGAGAAAACCCUGGACGAAUGCAAGGGCACUGGAUAUGAUCAUCUAAAUCAUAGAAAAAUUCCAGAGAGAGUUUGGAAAAUGUGUGGUGGCUUGCCAUUGGCCAUAGUGACCAUGGCUGGUCUUGUAGCAUCCGACAAGCAGCAGGGGGCCCACAAAGAUUGGAAUGAAGUUUGCGAUUCUCUCUUUCCAAACAAAGAAGUAUGCCAUAAACCAGAGGAAUUUAUGAGGAUAAUAAAUCAUUGCUAUCAUGAUUUAGACAAUGACCUCAAGACUUGCUCUCUAUAUCUAAGCAUAUUUCCAAAGGGACGCAAAAUCAGCAUGAAGAGGCUCACAAGAAGAUGGAUAGCAGAGGGUUUUGUCAGCGAGAAGCAGGGGUUGAGUGUCGAGGUUGUUGCAGAGACAUGCUUUAAUCAGCUCAUUGAAAGGAAGUUAAUACGGGCUGUAGAGCACAACAGCAGUGGAAGGGUGAAGAGUUGCCAAGUCCAUGACAUGGUUCUUGAGUACCUAAUUUCAAAGGCAGCUGAAGAGGAUUUUAUUACUGUGGUAGGUAGCCACUGGUCAAUGCCAACACAUAGCAACAAGGUCCGUAGGCUUUCCGUCCACAGCAGCGACUCUAAACGUGCACAGCAUGUGGAUAGCAUGAACCUGUCCCACGUCAGGUCACUGACUGUGUUUGAGAGCCUGGACAAACUGCAUUUUAAAUCACUCAAAACUAGAAUGGUUCAAGUAUUAGACCUCCAAGGCUGCAGAGGUUUUAGGGAGAGCCAUGUCAAGGUUUCAGACAUAAGUGAAAUGGUUCUUCUCAAGUAUCUGUGUCUCCGAAGCACGGACAUAAAAUAUCUUCCCCGGAAUAUACACAAGCUCAAGUACUUGGAGACUAUAGAUAUAAGGGAGACAGGGGUUCAACGGUUGCCUGCAACUGUAGGAAAGCUUCAACGAAUAAAGAACAUACUCGGUGGAGAUAAAAGAGCAAGGAAAACCCUAAAACUUCCUAGAGAAUUCAAGGGAACAACGAGAACCUUACGCAUAUUGUCAGGGGUUGAGAUCGCGGAGGGAUCAACAACAGCGGCAUCAGAUCUUAAGUACUUCACGGGGCUGAGGAAGUUGGCAAUUUACAAGAUCCACCAAAAUGAAGAUAUAUUCAGAGAUUUGCUGUCCUCUAUCCAGUAUCUUACUGGAUAUUCUCUUCAAACUCUUAAAAUUGAUGACGAGUCAUCUGAUUUCCAUAAGACCUUGGACUCAAUGUCGUCCUAUCCAACAGAUUUGAGUACUCUUGAGCUGUCUGGCAUGUUGCUUAAACUCCCAUUGUGGAUAAAGGAGCUCCAUAGACUUGUCAAGUUAACUCUGUCAGCAACAGCUCUCCGAACAGAUAACUUAAAGGUCCUUAGCAAUCUAGGUUCACUGUUUUCCCUAACCUUUUCAAUCAGUGAAGAGCAGGAUCCUGCUUUGGGAGCCAUUCUCCAAAGAAAUAAGUCUGAAUCAGGAGGAGAGAUCUUUUUUCCAGCUGGAAAAUUCAGUAAGCUCAAACUGCUUCGCAUAUUUGUUCCUCUUCUUCCAUUACUCAACUUCUCAAGCAAAGCGGUACCAGAGCUUGAAAGGAUUGAAUUGCGUUUCAAUAGGUUGGAAGGUCUUCAUGGUAUGGAAAAUCUUGAACGUCUCAAUGAUGUGCUCCUGACAGUUGAUGGCAAACGCAGUGAACCUACAAAGUCAAUACUUGAUGAUUUGAAAGAAGUAUCAGUAUCAUCCAAGUACACAGUAAUUGUCAAUGAGUCCCAUCAUGAUUGAUCGGAAUGUCGUCAAGUAAAAUAUGUUGAUAUUUCAGUCAGUAACAACAAACUCAGCUUUUAUGUCUUCACUAUGUACAAAUUAAGCUACAUAUGUGGCUGUGUUUUCACCCCUUUCAUUCAUCAUGCCUUGGAUCAGUUAGGUAUUCACACUAGUAAGGAUGCAUUAGAAUCACUGAAAUACUCUAUAUGCAUGGUCUGAUGUUGC
RNA transcript from Zea mays, 2144 nucleotides. It is a transcript of the gene named NB-ARC superfamily protein pseudogene, with no coding region annotated. The record is from RefSeq and is marked validated. The transcript has a single exon. Lineage: Eukaryota; Viridiplantae; Streptophyta; Magnoliopsida; Poales; Poaceae.